Stegostoma tigrinum is the source of this 1092-nucleotide long non-coding RNA. RefSeq lists it as uncharacterized. The transcript has 3 exons. The record is from RefSeq and is a predicted model, not a curated record. Lineage: Eukaryota; Metazoa; Chordata; Chondrichthyes; Orectolobiformes; Stegostomatidae.
AAACCCCGCCUCCGCGAGGCUGGGCCCCGCCCCCGCAGCGGCGGCCUCCACCCCGACGCUGUCCUGUUUCUUAGUGCCCUGGCACGCCUGAAUGAAGAAGAGCUUGGGCUUCUCUCGGAGGGUCGGGCACUGCGAGCCCGAGAAGAGCGAGGUGAUGUCGCGUAUGGCGACCAUUUGGCCGUCGGUGCCGCACAUCACGCCCUGCUUGCCGUGCGUCAGGAUGCAGCAUACAAAGCAAUCGCGCAGCGAGUGAUCCGUCUCCCGGUACCGAUUCAUGGUGUCCCUCAUCUCUGCAGCCGAGAGGUUCUUGAACAGAACCACUUCAAAACCAAGCCACCUGAAGACGCCGUCGAGCCGCUCUGUGGAAACACAAGGCAAGGUAAAACAAGAUGGUGUUGACUUACACAGUCAAAAUACUGAAGUGAAGCCUGACCAGCAGAGCGACUCAUCAGUGUCUUCAGUUGCCAUUGGUUUGAGGUGACUAUUCAAGAACAUAUCAGCUCAAGAGAUGAACAACACAACAAAUCAUUGCCGGGAAAUGGAUCACACGCUGUACGAUUGCUUAGUUUGUCAUGCUCUGACCCACUGAAAGAAAGGCAUGCUGUGUGGCACCAAUGCUCAGAAUGUUGGCUUUACCACAAAUUCGCAAUGCCAAACUGUCUGGCAGAUAUUGAAGCUCUUGUUUAUUCUGACAACCCAGAGAACCAAGAGCCAGGACAGUAUUGGAUUGAACUGACUCAAACAAGGAGUGAUCUGGAGGAGGGUAGUGAGAUUACUUUAGAAAUGGGUAUAGAUUCUAAUAGAGAAAUUAAAAUAAGCCUGAAUAAGGGUUAUAAUAUGGGGAUUAAGAUAGAAAAUGAUACUGUUUCUAAAUGGGCGAUCAAAAUAUUUAAGUAUAUAGAUUCUAAAAAGGAAAUAAAUGUAGAGAAGGACAAAGGUUCUAAAUGGGAAAUCAAAAUAGAAAAAUAUAUAUAUUCCAAAAGGGACAUAAAGAUAGAGAAGGAUAUAGAUUCUAAAAUGAACAGGAUUGACAAGGAUCAGAGAUAAUGGGAACUGCAGAUGCUGGAGAUUCCAAGAUAAUAAAAUGUGAGG